AUUUAUAUAGUUUAAGAAAAAUUUUAAAUUUUCAAUUUAAAGAUAAAAUAAAAUUUAUAAAUU
Molecule: transfer RNA, 63 nt
Filed under: Macrocentrus camphoraphilus
Lineage: Eukaryota; Metazoa; Arthropoda; Insecta; Hymenoptera; Braconidae
Description: tRNA-Glu
Source: RNAcentral